GGAAAGAGGAGUGGCGGACGGGUGAGUAACACGUGGGUAACCUACCCAUCAGAGGGGGAUAACACUUGGAAACAGGUGCUAAUACCGCAUAACAGUUUAUGCCGCAUGGCAUAAGAGUGAAAGGCGCUUUCGGGUGUCGCUGAUGGAUGGACCCGCGGUGCAUUAGCUAGUUGGUGAGGUAACGGCUCACCAAGGCCACGAUGCAUAGCCGACCUGAGAGGGUGAUCGGCCACACUGGGACUGAGACACGGCCCAGACUCCUACGGGAGGCAGCAGUAGGGAAUCUUCGGCAAUGGACGAAAGUCUGACCGAGCAACGCCGCGUGAGUGAAGAAGGUUUUCGGAUCGUAAAACUCUGUUGUUAGAGAAGAACAAGGACGUUAGUAACUGAACGUCCCCUGACGGUAUCUAACCAGAAAGCCACGGCUAACUACGUGCCAGCAGCCGCGGUAAUACGUAGGUGGCAAGCGUUGUCCGGAUUUAUUGGGCGUAAAGCGAGCGCAGGCGGUUUCUUAAGUCUGAUGUGAAAGCCCCCGGCUCAACCGGGGAGGGUCAUUGGAAACUGGGAGA
RNAcentral lists this ribosomal RNA (569 nucleotides) under Enterococcus faecalis. Its description in RNAcentral is "bacterial SSU rRNA". It matches the Rfam family "Bacterial small subunit ribosomal RNA", at positions 85 to 640 of the family's 1533-position model. Lineage: Bacteria; Bacillati; Bacillota; Bacilli; Lactobacillales; Enterococcaceae. The record is from RNAcentral.